ACUGCUUGAACCCUUGAAGGAUGCAUCUUUUUUUUUUUCUUCUUGGUUCUGAUGUUCAGGUCAAAACUCAGAUGGAAUGCAAAUGUGUGUGCACGAGAAUGAUUAAGGGCCUGGAGGACAAACCGCAUGAGGAAGACAAAGCUGAGAAUCUCUUCAGCAUUGGCUCCAGAUGCAGCAGAUCGAGUGGAUCCAGAGGAAUAUUUGGUCACAACUAAAACAAAGGGAAACGGCAGCAAAGGAGGAACAGAACAGUCCAGCUAAAAUGGGGAGCCCCACGAAUGGACACAAAAUAACUGGAACAUCAAUCAAAGGUUCAAAGAUUCUGAGAUCAUUUAAAAUUUUUAACUGAGAUCAGAUCCCUUUGGGGUACUGCUACCUGCCUAGGAGGCUUAAUUAGACUACCUGCCUGAAAAACAGCAUAUACCAUAUGGGAUUAUUCAUUGAAGCACAUCCACUGAAGUGUAUGAAACAUGAUUUAAAUACUACAGUGCAAGUAGAGCCCUAAUAAUCAACACUGAGAACUGAGGAAGUAUGUUGGAUUUUAUAUAUUUUAAU
Molecule: long non-coding RNA, 555 nt
Organism: Alligator mississippiensis (American alligator)
Lineage: Eukaryota; Metazoa; Chordata; Crocodylia; Alligatoridae
Exons: 4
Source: RefSeq, a predicted model, not a curated record